RNAcentral lists this transfer RNA (69 nucleotides) under Marmota monax (woodchuck). RNAcentral describes it as "tRNA.Undet". Lineage: Eukaryota; Metazoa; Chordata; Mammalia; Rodentia; Sciuridae. The record is from RNAcentral.
GGACUGUAGCUCAGUGGUAAGAGCGUUUGCCUUGCAUAUGUUAGGCUCUGGGUUUGAUCCUCAGCACCA